This 159-nucleotide non-coding RNA is filed under the name Amorphochlora amoebiformis. The record is from RNAcentral. Lineage: Eukaryota; Cercozoa; Chlorarachniophyceae.
GGCACUUAAAGUUCGUGGUACCCUUAAGGAAAAGAAUGCAAUUAUAGAUAAGAAGAUUAAAGAGCAAGAAGAUUUGGCGACGAAAUCGGCGAUGGAGCGCGAUGAGUUGCUCCAUAAGAUCGGUAAUUAUGUUCACGGGAGUGUCCCUGUGGGAGAUGA